UGCCGGGUUCGCGCCGAUUUGACGUAAACAGAUUGCGGGCGCGUUAAAAAUACCGCUAAAGCGAAGCCAGAUCAGAACCCGU
RNAcentral lists this non-coding RNA (82 nucleotides) under Candidatus Accumulibacter. Lineage: Bacteria; Pseudomonadati; Pseudomonadota; Betaproteobacteria. The record is from RNAcentral.